CAUUUACGGAGAGUUUGAUUCUGGCUCAGAACGAACGCUGGCGGCGUGGAUAAGACAUGCAAGUCGAACGCGAAUUCAUUUGAUAGCAAUAUUAGAUGAGUUUGAGUGGCGAAAGGGUGCGUAACACGUGGGAAUGUGCCGAAAAGUGGGGAAUAGCUCACCGAAAGGUGAGGUAAUGCCCCAUGUGAAGGAGACUUUAAAGUUAGGGAUCGCAAGACCUGACGCUUUUCGAGCAGCCCGCGGCCUAUCAGCUAGUUGGUGAGGUAAUGGCUCACCAAGGCUAUGACGGGUAGCUGGUCUGAGAGGACGACCAGCCACACUGGAACUGAGACACGGUCCAGACACCUACGGGUGGCAGCAGUCGAGAAUUUUUCACAAUGGGGGAAACCCUGAUGGAGCGACGCCGCGUGGAGGAUGAAGGUUUUCGGAUUGUAAACUCCUGUCACUGCAGAGCAAAGCUACGGUACUAAUAUCACCGGAGUCUGAUAGUAUGCAGGGAGGAAGGGACGGCUAACUCUGUGCCAGCAGCCGCGGUAAUACAGAGGUCCCGAGCGUUGUUCGGAUUCACUGGGCGUAAAGGGUGUGUAGGAGGUUUGAUAAGUCAGGUGUGAAAUCCCAUCGCUCAACGAUGGAACUGCAUUCGAUACUGUCAGACUAGAGGAUCGGAGGGGGAAGCGGAAUUCUUGGUGUAGCGGUGAAAUGCGUAGAUAUCAAGAGGAACACCGGUGGCGAAGGCGGCUUCCUGGAAGAUACCUGACUCUGAAACACGAAAGCUAGGGGAGCGAAUGGGAUUAGAUACCCCAGUAGUCCUAGCUGUAAACGGUGUGCGUUAAGCGCUAGCGGAUUCGACCCCGCUGGUGCUGUAGAUAACUCGUUAAACGCACCGCCUGAGGAGUACGGUCGCAAGAUUAAAACUCAAAGAAAUUGACGGGGGCCCGCACAAGCGGUGGAGUAUGUGGCUUAAUUCGAUGCAACGCGAAGAACCUUACCCAGGCUUGACAUGCAUUGUUCAAGGGAUGAAAGUCUCUGGCUAGCAAUAGCGAAUUGCACAGGUGCUGCAUGGCUGUCGUCAGCUCGUGUCGUGAGAUGUUGGGUUAAGUCCCGCAACGAGCGCAACCCCUAUGAACUGUUGCCGAAAGGAUCUCUGUUCAGACUGCCCUGUUUAACGGGGAGGAAGGUGGGGAUGACGUCAAGUCAGUAUGGCCCUUACGCCUGGGGCUGCACACGUACUACAAUGCUCAGUACAGAAGGAAGCAAGACCGCGAGGUGGAGCAAAUCCCUAAAACUGAGCCCAGUUCGGAUUGGAGGCUGCAACUCGCCUCCAUGAAGUUGGAAUCGCUAGUAAUGGCGCAUCAGCUACGGCGCCGUGAAUACGUUCCCGGGCCUUGUACACACCGCCCGUCACAUCAUGAAAGCCUAUUGUACCCGAAGUCGGUUUCCGCCUAAGGUAUGGUCGGUAAUUGGGAUGAAGUCGUAACAAGGUAGCCGUAGGGGAACCUGCGGCUGGAUCACCUCCUUUCU
This 1521-nucleotide ribosomal RNA is filed under the name Verrucomicrobium sp. GAS474. RNAcentral's name for it is "bacterial SSU rRNA". It matches the Rfam family "Bacterial small subunit ribosomal RNA". Lineage: Bacteria; Pseudomonadati; Verrucomicrobiota; Verrucomicrobiia; Verrucomicrobiales; Verrucomicrobiaceae. The record is from RNAcentral.